This 2668-nucleotide long non-coding RNA is filed under the name Hordeum vulgare. Its description in RNAcentral is "long non-coding RNA (HVUL_LNC013265)". The record is from RNAcentral. Lineage: Eukaryota; Viridiplantae; Streptophyta; Magnoliopsida; Poales; Poaceae.
GUGCUAUUCUUCAUUACUUGUUUCCUUUUAUGUGAACCAAUAUGAGUACAAGAGGUACUCUACCAUGGAUUUUGGUUCACAGCCCAAAAGGUCUUAGCAAAAAAAGAGAAGAAAUAUAUGUCAAUAAAUGUAGGCUUUUGUUAUAUGAUUCUAGAGGAAUUGAUGAAAUUUGUGGAAAUGUAUUUAUUCCUUUUAACUCCUUGUGAUUUCCUACAACAAUGGAGUCAAGGUGUUUUGAUGUCCCGACACCAAAACAUUUGUGCACAUCUAUGCCAGGCUUUGGAUGAUGAGCAUCGAGUGAGGUGUCUUUCAACUUGAUGUUGAAUUACAUUUACUGGUUGAGGAUCUAAUUUCCUGUGUUUCCGCGGAAGUAUAUGUGAGAUUGUAUCUCUUGUGGUGAGAUUUCUCCCCCUGUUGCUCUCAUUUGGGGAGAAGAGUGGUUUAUAAGGUACCUCCACUCUUUCAGACACUUUACUGCAGCAAUAUAAAAUUGAGUGACACCUUUGUCAUCACUAAAUGUAUGUGGCAGAUUUGCAAUGUGUUACAAAUAUGUGAUUCUAAACUUCUUGUUCACAUUCUUUGAGUACGUAGAUAUAAGGACUGAAUGUGAAUAACAUUUAUAAUUUAUUUCUUGGCACUCUUUGCGGUACUUAUCUCCCCCUAAUGCCAGAAAUAUCCUUAUUGCUGAUGCAAUCACCAUAGGGGCUAUGAAUAAUUUUGAUUGACGGAUAAAUUGUUAUUCCUACAUAAAUCCCUAAUUUUCCGUGAGAGCCCAUUGACGUAUGUUGGAUUGGUGAUAUCGGUAUGUAACCGAAUUAUAGCUGAUAGGAAAUACUUUGUUGAUUUCCACGUAAUUACUACAAGGGGAAAGUAGUAUGCUAUGCAGUUGCUAUGAUUUAUAUCUUACUUACGGCGUGUAAUGUUGUAUUUGUCUAGCAUGAGCCUAGUAAAUUACAAUUCUAUAAGUUUGGUCAUAUUAUUAAUUUCACUAUCUUUGAUAAGAUAUUGAACUAAACCAUUAUGCGUAUGUACAUCAAGUAUUAUAUAUAAUCAGACAUUUCUUGUGAAAUGACUUCAAGGAACUUGUCCAUUCGAAUGGAUUUAUCCCUUGUUUAGGAUAAUUUGCUCUUACUUUAAUAAGUUGAGCGAUUAAUUAGUUAAUACCAUUCAUGGUUGUGUGUGACUAGAGACACACUUGAAAUCAUUUUAUAAAUGUUUCUGUGAGUACCAUGAAGUAUCUCAAUAAUCCCACAUAAUGGUUAAGUAAUCCAUAUAUAUCUUCCGAAUGUGUUCAAGGAAGAUCGAGUGACUUAUUUAGAAUCUUAAGGUGAGGGUGCCUUAAAACUGAUUUCCCCUAUGGCACAUGCGGUGCCCAUAAAAUCUGAUGAUUUAGGAAAUAUCGUAACUCAAAAAGUUAGACCAAUAGAAUUGCCAAUAAUUUUUCUAUUUAACCCCAAACCGGGAUUGUAAGACUUAUAACCAAAUAUGUUGUAAGAUUUUUAAGAAAAAUAUUGUGUACGCAACAAAACAGAGUAUGGAUUGAUACAUACAUUCAAAAAAUUUCAAGUAUAAUGUCUAAGAAAUAGGAUAUUGGACAUCGCACUACAUGUAGUAGCACAAGUAUAGGCUAAUGAUAUUUUGAGAAUAAUUAGGAGAUUACAUGUGGUCUCCCAUAUUACUGAAAAAUUAAUUACACAAACAUAUCAUAGGUGCAAAAUAAUUGAUCAUUCUAUUAUUGCACUAUAUUUUUGGUUCUCCUUCUAAUGAAGAUUUGAGGACAUCAUUUACUAGAAUAUUUUGUGGUUGUAUGUUUGCAAAUUCUCAAAUAUCCCAAUGAACUUAUUUUCCUUUUUAAAUAAAUUUGUGGUGUGGUUUGACUAUAUGAUUGAGGAUUUGGUAAUCAUACGUAUGAUAUUUGUAUACUUACACAUUUGAAAAACUUGAGAGUUAUCGUUGUGAUCGCUUGAAAAACGAUAUAUUCCCCAUUAAGAGGUAAUUUUGUCUUUGCUUGUCUCUUAGCCUCCACUUUACUUUGAAUUCCUCGUGGUUCAUUUUUGUGAUCACUGACUUGCAUAGUAUUAUCAAUACUAGCAAAUAUUUCAAAUAGUGGUAUAACACCCAUUGGGUGAAUCUCAUGAUUUUAAGAAAUUCCAUGUUCCUUCAUCAUGAAAAAUGGUAGCCAUCAUAAUAGAUGUAAAGUGUAUUGAGGGAUUUUCAACCGGAUCUACAUAUUAUAAUAUUUGAUUAUUGGAUCUUAACUUGAAGUUGAUUAAAGACACAAAAUUGUGAGCCGCGAUAGGCUUGAGGUCUUGAAAACUGAAUGGUGGUCAUCCGCUAUGUGCUCAUGGGAGGAUAUAACUCUUAAGGAAAAUAUUCCAGGAUAAAUAAAUAUCCAUAUAUUAUGUACUUAGUUUGAGAACUAAGUGAAGUUGGUGAUAUAUAAAAUGCAUAUGCACAUAUUAGAUAUUAAGAAUAGCCAUGACACAUUUUCCUGAAGGUGGAGUUCUACUCGUAAUACUACAAUGGAUAGAUAAAUGACUGAUGUCAUGAAUCAUCUUACAAUAAAUACUCUCAGAUAAGAUGAAUGUAGUGCAUUUUUUAAAAUUUACUUCUAGGAGUAAUAAAUAUUUAUGGAUAAAUGAUUUGUUUGAUAACAAUCAUGGCCAAG